RNAcentral lists this ribosomal RNA (261 nucleotides) under uncultured archaeon. RNAcentral's name for it is "partial 16S ribosomal RNA". It matches the Rfam family "Archaeal small subunit ribosomal RNA", at positions 748 to 1008 of the family's 1478-position model. The record is from RNAcentral.
UAGCCGUAAACGAUACUCGCUAGGUGUCGGCCACGGUGCGACCGUUGUCGGUGCCGUAGGGAAGCCGUGAAGCGAGCCACCUGGGAAGUACGGCCGCAAGGCUGAAACUUAAAGGAAUUGGCGGGGGAGCACCACAACGGGUGGAGCUUGCGGUUUAAUUGGAUUCAACGCCGGAAAUCUUACCGGGACCGACAGCAACAUGAAGGCCAGGCUGAAGACUUUGCCGGAUUAGCUGAGAGGAGGUGCAUGGCGUCAGUGACU